This 4586-nucleotide long non-coding RNA is filed under the name Malus domestica (apple). RNAcentral's name for it is "long non-coding RNA (MDOM_LNC020523)". Lineage: Eukaryota; Viridiplantae; Streptophyta; Magnoliopsida; Rosales; Rosaceae. The record is from RNAcentral.
AUAAAAUUUUCCCUUGAGCUUCAGUGGCCUACGACGGUCACACAACACGCCGGAUGCACUCUUCCACUUCAUCCAUCCAGCUUGUAUUCUAUGGGUGAGAUCUCCAUCAAAUUCUCCGUUCUUUUGCAAGAUAGAUCCUAGGUAGCGAAAACAGUCGCUCUUUGGUAUUUCCUAAUCUCCGAUCCUCACCCCUAACUCAUUUUGGCCUCCGUUUGCACUGAACUUGCACUCCAUAUAUUCUGUCUUUGAUUGGCUUAGGCGAAGACCUUUAGAUUCCAACACUUCUCUCCAAAGGUUAAGCUUCGCGUUUACCCCUUCCUGCGUUUCAUCUAUCAACACUAUAUCGUUUGCGAAAAAUAUACACCAAAGAAUAUCAUCUUAAAUAUUAAGUUUGUGAUCUUCGCUAGAUUGCUCCGGUCAUUAGUGUGGAUAAGUAUGUAAAUGGAUAGAGACAGGAAGCAAACACAAGAUGUAUGUGGUUCACCCAGAUUGGCUACGUCCACGGAGUAAAGGAGUUCUCAUUAAUUGUGAAGGGUUUACACAGUACAUAGGUUCAAGCUCUCCUUUAGUGAGUACAAGUGAAUGAUUUAGUACAAAUGACAUUAGGAAAUAUUAUGGGAGAAUGAUCUUGUAAUCACGAAACUUUUAAGUACCGAAGUGUGGUAUCGUCUUCACUUGCCUUAUCUGUCUCAUAGGUAGAUGUGGCAUUUUCUUUGGAAGUACUCUUCCUCCCUCCAGGGGUGUAUCUUUAACUGGUGGAGAUGCACAAGGUAAUGUAUCAAUUUCACUUGACGCUUACUUGUAGUUUCAGGCUUGGUCAAGCGCGAUACAAACCAUGUAGUAGGAGUCUCCCAAGUCGCCGAGCUAGGGGAUCUGCUGAAAGAGGUGAUAGACAAGGUAAGCAAUCAGAGCUCCAAGCAAUCAGUCCCAGAUCAGAAGUUUGAUUUCGAGUUCUGGCUGAUUGUUAUCCUUCUCUUUAUCUUGCAGGCAGCAUGAAGGAUAAAGAGAAGAAAAGGAGAAAAGGUGAUAUGAGAUACUUUUUCUUUUGAAGAAGUAACUUUCCACAGGCUUAUUCUUGAACUGGGCUGGAGGGUUUUCUGGUUUCCGCCAGAGUAUAAGGCCGACUGAAGAAUUUGAGGGUCAAAACAAGUCCAUCAAAUCUAGAGUACGUUCGACCCUGCUGAUAUGGGAUACUUUUGCUGUUGACAAAGUAGUGGAUGUAUCGGCACAUGUUCUAUUGCGCUUGUCUCCACGUGCUUCCUUGUAUCCUUCUCACUUGCCCUAUUUGUUCCUCAGGCAGAUGUGGUAUCUUCUCGGGAAGCAUAAGAUGUUGAAGAUGAGUACUCGAGAGCAAUGCCAGGUAAGUAAUUCCAGGCAGUCAGUUCCGGACUGGAAGCUUGAUUCCAAGUGCUGACUGAUUGCUCUCUUUCUCCUUGUCUUGCAGGUAAGAACAAGGCCAAAGGAAAAAACAGGGAAAAAGCAUGAUAUGGGAUACUCUUGCUUUUAACCCUGAUGAUAUGAGAUAUUCUUGCUCUGGUGUAGCUUGUUUGCAGAGGUAUUCUCGGGGGGAAAGAAAGCUGAGUAUUUCGAGAGGCUUCGUUGGGAGUGCCCUGUCAGAUAUGAGGAAGGGUUGAGCAUUUUUGCAGGUCUGCCUGUCCAUUGAGGAUGGAGGUCGACAUAUAUAGGAGUCUCCCUAACAACAAGGAGUAAUGCUAUUCAUUUACCCUGCUUGGUCAUAGCACGGUAGUGGGAGCUGCCAACUUCACGUGUUUUAACUCUGUCAGAGCACUUUGAAAAAGUGGUCUGUGGUAUCUGGAAAGCUGAUGUUACGUGUGAAGAUUACAGACAAGCUUUAUCCAAGAAGAUCUGGCUCUCGAAGUUGAGAAAGCGGUGUGAGGAUUACAGACAAGCUUUAUCUAAGAGGCUCUCGAAGUUGAGAAAGCGGUGCCUCUUCGGUUUUCGAACAAGCAAUCCUGUCGGGAAUCUGUCUCUCGAGAUUCGGAGAACGGUGCCUAUUCGAUGUUUGAGAAAGCAAUCCUGCUAGAAGUCUGGCUCUCGAGAUUAGGAGAGCGGUGUCUCGUCGUUUUUUGAGAAAGUAAUCAUGUUGGGAGUCUGGCUCUCGAGAUUCGGAGGGCGGUGCCUCUUCGAUCUUGAAGCAAGCAAUCUUGUUGGGAGUGUUUUCUCGAAUGUGAGUAAAGGUUAGGCAUGUUUGCUAGUCUACUUUGCCACGGAGCACAGAGGUUGACACACAGGGACUUUCCAAUUAUCCAGCAGUGGUCAUGUUCUUUUACCCUUGUGGGUAAUAAUAUGGUAGCUAGACCUUCAAAAUUUAUGUGUCUAAACUUUGUUAGUGCUGUUUCUUUGCUAUUCUUUUACCCUUCUUGGUCAUAGCGAUGUAAUGGAAGCUGCAAGCUUCACGUGUCUAAACUUUGUCAGAGAUUUUUGGCAAAGUUAUCUGUGGUACCCGUGAGCUGAUGUUGCGUGUAGAAAGUGGAUGAUUGAACAGUAAGAUUUACAUUCACGUGCUUUCUACUUCACUAGAAAUCUUCGACAGAAUGCCCGUAAUUUUCGCAAAGUUGAGUGUGCAUGUGACAGGUGCUGACAAGGCUGAAAAAGCAGGUGCCUCUUCAAUUUCUGAGAUCGACCCUCGUGGUCUCUGAGCAGCCCAGCUUUUGAGAAAGCAAGCGCCUCUUCGAUUUCUGCGAUUGACCUUCGUGGUCUUUGAGCAGCCCAGCUUUUGAGAAAGCAAACGUCUCUUUGUUUCCUGAGAUCGGCCCUCAUGGUCUCUGAGCAGCCCAGCUUUUGAGAAAGCAAACGCCUUUUCGAUUUCUGAGCAGGCGCCUCUUCGAUUUCUGAAGCUCCAUCGAGUGCAGAUUUUUAUAGAGGCUGGUAUUAAGUUCCAAAGCACACUUGAAUCUCCACCAGUAGAAGCUCCCUUCUUGCAUUUCUAAGAUCUUGAUUUAUCCGACCUCUUCUCUCUUCAACACCCUUGAAAAUGUCUGGCCCCUCCGACCGUCGUUUUGACUUGAACCUUGUUCAAGAGGCAGCCACGCCUUCUCCAGACAACAUAUGGCGCCCAUCCUUCUUAUCCCCUACUGGUCCUCUUACCGUUGGGGAUUCCGUGAUGAAGAAUGAUAUGACCGCUGCGGUGGUGGCCAGGAACCUUCUCACUCCUAAAGAUAACAAACUAUUUUCCAAACGGUCUGAUAAGUUGGCUGUUAAGGAUUCUCUGGCUCUCAGUGUUCAGUGUGCAGGUUCUGUGUCUAAUAUGGCCCAACGCCUAUUUGCUCGAACUCGCCAAGUUGAAUCAUUGGCGGCUGAAGUGAUGAGUCUCAAACAGGAGACUAGAUGGCUCAAGCAUGAGAAUAAACAGUUGCACCGGCUCGCACAUGACUAUGCUACAAACAUGAAGAGGAAGCUUGACCAGAUGAAGGAAUCUGAUGGUCAGAUUACAUGAUCAUCAGAGGUUUGUGGGUUUGUUCCAAAGGCAUUUAUUGCCUUCGUCUUCUUGGGCUGUACCGCGUAAUGAAGCUCCAAAUGAUCAACCUCCGAUGCCUCCUCCUUCUAAAGUGCUGUCCAGUACUGAGGCUCCGAAUGAUCCCCCUCUGGUGCCUUUUCUUUCUGGGGCUCUACCGACUGCUGAGGCUUCUCCUAAGCAACCUUUGUGAAGGCUUCUUCUUGUUUGUUUAUUUUGACUCAUGUAUAUGUACAUAUUUGUAACUUAUUGGAGAUAUCAAUAAAUAAGCUUUGUUUCAUUUCAACGUAUUGUGUUAAAUACACCAAAGCCUUCUUCGCUAAGUUCUUUGAAUUUUUCUUUUGUUGAAGCUUGUUUGUUGAAGCUUUGUGAGUGGAGCAUGUAGGUUGAGGUAGUGUUCCCUUAAUUUCCCGAGUGGGGAAAACUUCUCGAUUGGAGACUUGAAAAAAUCCAAGUCACUGAGUGAGGUCGGCUAUAUGAAUCUUAGAACGCCAUUGUGCUCGAUCAUGUGUCAUGUCCUCCGUUAGAUCCAAGUACUCUAAGUCUUUUCUUAGAGUCUUUUCCAAAGUUUUCCUAGGUCUUCCUCUACCCCUUCGGCCCUGAACCUCUGUCUCGUAGUCGCAUCUUCUAACCGGAGCGUUAGUAGGCCUUCUUUGCACAUGUCCAAACCACCGUAACCGAUUUUCUCUCAGCUUUCCUUCAAUUUCGGCUACUCCUACUUUACCUCGGAUAUCCUCAUUCCUAAUCUUAUCCUUUCUCGUGUGCCCACACAUCCAACGAAGCAUCCUCAUCUCCGCUACACUCAUUUUGUGUACAUGUUGAUGCUUCACCGCCCAACAUUUUGUGCCAUACAGCAUAGCCGGCCUUAUUGUCGUCCUAUAGAAUUUUCCCUUAAGCUUCAGUGGCAUACGACGAUCACACAACACACCGGAUCCACUCUUCCACUUCAUUCAUCCAGCUUGUAUUCUAUGGUUGAGAUCUCCAUCUAAUUCUCCGUUCUUUUGCAACAUAGAUCCUAGGUAGCGAAAAUGGUCGCUCUUUGGUAUUUCCUGAUCUCCGAUCCUCACCCCUAACUCAUUUUGGCCUCCAUUUGCACUGAACUUGCACUCCA